RNAcentral lists this long non-coding RNA (516 nucleotides) under Hordeum vulgare. Its description in RNAcentral is "long non-coding RNA (HVUL_LNC000728)". The record is from RNAcentral. Lineage: Eukaryota; Viridiplantae; Streptophyta; Magnoliopsida; Poales; Poaceae.
ACAUGAGCAUGUGUGUGUUCCGCCUAGAUUCUUAAUGUGUUCUCCAAUCUGAAUCUUCACACAAUUUGGUGAUGGUGGAAAAAAUAUUCUUUACAUCUUGCCAACAGGGUAGCAAGAUUUGUACGAAGAGGACUUUAAGUCCAACAAUUUCUCUCCUCACAAGUGUCGACCCAAAUCAAUAAGAAGGAAUCGGUACUGCCUUAAUCUCCAUGAACUGAUUCUUUAAUCUCUCCCAAAGCCCAUCUCAUCCACUGUCUAUCUUUUGCAGUUUUCUUUUGCACGUUACAUGCAGUGUUUUAAAUAGCGGGAUAUGCCAUGUAGGCGAAGAGCAUGCUGCCACCUCCUGAAUAACUAUGAUGCGCCUCAGCCUGUCCAUUGCCCUCACUGCACCCUUACCACCUCCAGCCAUCUGCUGAGCACGUACCUCAGUGCUUAGCAACGUCUUCUUGGAAGAAAAUGACCACAUCACUACCAUGAAGACCGGCAAUUAGAAGUCGAUGGUUUGCUUCAAUUUCG